This 647-nucleotide unclassified non-coding RNA is filed under the name uncultured Prochlorococcus sp. RNAcentral describes it as "partial 16S-23S ribosomal RNA intergenic spacer; may also contain 16S ribosomal RNA and 23S ribosomal RNA". The stretch from base 305 to 377 matches the Rfam family "tRNA". Lineage: Bacteria; Bacillati; Cyanobacteriota; Cyanophyceae; Synechococcales; Prochlorococcaceae. The record is from RNAcentral.
UUGUGGAGGAGGACGCCGAAGGUGGGGCUAAUGACUGGGGUGAAGUCGUAACAAGGUAGCCGUACCGGAAGGUGCGGCUGGAUCACCUCCUAACAGGGAGACAACAAAAUGUUUAAUAUUAUUAUUUUGUCACCUUAGGUCGAUCGGUAUCUCACGUUUUUAAUUUAUUAAGAAUUUCAUUUCCUAAGUUUUUCUAGGUCACACCCAUUAUUUUUCCUGGGCCAUUAGCUCAGGUGGUUAGAGCGCACCCCUGAUAAGGGUGAGGUCCCUGGUUCAAGUCCAGGAUGGCCCAUAUCUCUAUGUUGGGGGUAUAGCUCAGUUGGUAGAGCGCCUGCUUUGCAAGCAGGAUGUCAGCGGUUCGAGUCCGCUUACCUCCACUGAUCACCGCCUCUUCCAUAAUUGGUAAAAAGGAAAUUUUUUGAGUUGUGAUCAAAUUCUGAAAGAAUCUAGCUUCCUAAUGAAUUCAUUAAGAUGCUGGACUCAUUGAAUUAAUUUCAUUGUUUUCAGAGAACCUUGACAACUGCAUAGAUUAUUUUUAAAGACAAUAAGCAUCUUUAAUGAUGCAGAUUUAUUAUUUGUGCAAAUGCAUUAAUAACAAUUCUAUUAAGCUGAUGCUUCAAUAUUUGAAGUUAUUGGUCAAGCUACAA